This 214-nucleotide ribosomal RNA is filed under the name Streptomyces sp. SID5910. Its description in RNAcentral is "Bacterial small subunit ribosomal RNA". It matches the Rfam family "Bacterial small subunit ribosomal RNA", at positions 364 to 570 of the family's 1533-position model. Lineage: Bacteria; Bacillati; Actinomycetota; Actinomycetes; Kitasatosporales; Streptomycetaceae. The record is from Rfam by way of RNAcentral.
UUGCACAAUGGGCGCAAGCCUGAUGCAGCCAUGCCGCGUGUAUGAAGAAGGCCUUCGGGUUGUAAAGUACUUUCAGCGGGGAGGAAGGGAGUAAAGUUAAUACCUUUGCUCAUUGACGUUACCCGCAGAAGAAGCACCGGCUAACUCCGUGCCAGCAGCCGCGGUAAUACGGAGGGUGCAAGCGUUAAUCGGAAUUACUGGGCGUAAAGCGCAC